RNAcentral lists this ribosomal RNA (115 nucleotides) under Schizosaccharomyces osmophilus. Lineage: Eukaryota; Fungi; Ascomycota; Schizosaccharomycetes; Schizosaccharomycetales; Schizosaccharomycetaceae. The record is from RNAcentral.
ACGGCCACACCUAGGUGAAAACACCAGUUCCCGUCCGAUCACUGCAGUUAAGCGUCUGAGGGUCUCGUUAGUACUAUGGUUGGAGACAACAUGGGAAUCCGGGAUGCUGUAGGCU